AGGUUGCCUGUCCAGAUUCCAUUAAAACAAGAUAGUAGCUGCUGCACCACCUGAAAUGCAUGGAGAUUAAUAUAACUGCUAACAAACCUUUUCCUUCUGGCUUCUUUCAAGACUAUCACAAUUGUUUCCACUCCUUUCAGCAAGUAGAUUGCUGCAAAAACAAAACAAAACAGGAACCUAUAGAUCUGGAAGACAUCCACUCCUCUGGAUACACCCAUAUUCUAAGCACAAAAUGCCACCAUACCACCAUCUAAUUUUCUUAAGUGUACUCCAGCAGCAUAAGACAACAAUUCAGCACUUCAUUCCUUCUCAAAGCUUAACAAAUAAACCACCCAAAGACACCAAUGUACCUUAAGCUGGACCACUCCCCUCUUAAAAAAAAAAAAAAAAAAAUUGUCAUGGAAGCUCACCUGCUUGACUGACUGCUGAAAUGAAAGGGAAGGCUGGUAACAGAGGCUGUAAUUGGAGAGAAGAAAGUAUUAGAAUCAGCUGGAAGCUCUGAUAGGUGGUAGCUCCCCACCUGAGCUUAUGCUCCUAAAGUAAUUGUUACUUGUUUUGUUCUAAAUCUUUUUUUUUUUUCACUGUUCUGAGGAGUUAUUUUCAGAUCAAAAACAGCCACUUGUGCUGCAUUGUAGAAAACCAGAUGCGGUUAUCUACAGGUGGGGUGUGAUUUUGAUUGUACUGUAAUUUUGAACACGCAACAAAACUAAAACUAAAAUUAAAAAAAAAAAAAACACGUGGGGAGAGCAGCUGUGGCAUGGUGGUGAGUCCCUGGGAAAGCCAUCAUCUGGCGGAAGAAAGCCCAGGGAGACUUCUCAGAGGUAAGAAGCCUUCAAAUGUACAGGGACCCCUAACUCGUGUGUCGAGUGUGCGAGACAAACGUCUGUGGCAUGAAGAUCAAGGACGACUUCUCAGAGUUCACCAGGGCAGAAGCAGCUCCCCGCCGCUAGGACCCCUGUGGGUUUUGUUGCCGAGCGAAGGUGGCGCACCAGCUAAACCAAGAAAAGCUGCAGCUGGUGUGCUGCAGUUGCAGGUUUCCCAGGAGAAAGAGCAGCUCGUCUGUCCCGACUGUCCAGAAGAUGUCCCGGAUUUAAAGAUGAUGUGUAUUAAAUGAAGUAUGAGAAGAAACAGCUUCUUCCGACACUUGCGCUCCUUUUCUUCAGCUCAUGCAGAAGGCUGACAGCCUGUCUCACUCUCUUCAGUGCUAUCCCACCAGCUCCUUUAGGAGCUCAGCACCACAUUUGGCCUGUUGUGAUCUUCCCGAUCUCCUCAUUUCUGUGCUGCAACACCACCAUCCACGAGAAGUCAAGUAGGAUCUGAAGACCUUUGACAUUGCUAAAGAAUCAAACCUCAGCUGUCAUUUUUAGCCCUUUGUAUUCCAGAUGUUUGCUUUGCUGGACGAUGGUUUCAUUUUUGAUUUUGUAAUAUGUUCUUUGUAGAGGUUAUUUUAAGCAGACAAGUAGGUAGCCUCCUUCCUUCAGUGGAAUUGUGUGGGUUUUAGCUGAGCUU
RNAcentral lists this long non-coding RNA (1509 nucleotides) under Anser brachyrhynchus (Pink-footed goose). Its description in RNAcentral is "lncRNA (ENSABRG00000022989.1)". The record is from RNAcentral. Lineage: Eukaryota; Metazoa; Chordata; Aves; Anseriformes; Anatidae.